GAUUAGCCAGAAGAGAUCUUAGAGAAUGGAUGGAAAAUAAAGCAAGAGACACCGUGGAGGCACAUAGGAGAGAGGAUUCUAAAAAGCUUUCUCUACUAUCUAAACAAUUGACAUCACAAUGCUCUAACCUUUGUAGAAUUGUGUAGAAAAGCUCAAGAUUGUACGAUUUCAACCACAAAGGAUGGACAGAGUGCCCAUUGGAUGGUACAUUUCCAGGCUGUGCUAAACCAGCCAGAACCAUUAACACAUACUGAGAAAUGUGAAGACAUAGUGGUCUUAUCUAUACCACUACAAGUAAUCACCUCGGAGGAAGGAACUAAGGCUAUAAACCAGCUGAAGCGUGCUAAAGCACCAGGCUAGGAUAAAACAAAUGCUGAAAUGUUAAAUGCUGGGGAGGAAGUGCUGGUGAAUUAUAUGUGCAGGCAGUUGGAGUGGUCUGGAGAAGGGACACCUGUCCAAAGAUUGGAGAAGAGGUGUUAUCUGCAAAAUCCCUGAAAAGGCAAACACCAGGGGUGACAACCUGCCAGCACAUCUUAACCAGUGGCCAUGGCCGAUAACCAAUCAUGUCCUCGAUGUUGUCAUAGAAACGGUCUGCACCUUGACCACCAGAGGAAGGGACAGAGAAAAAGAGAGAUAAACACCAUUUUCUGUGGUUCCAGCACACCCAUUGCAAGCAGUGGAUGAUGUAGUGGAACACGGUGGGACCUGACAUGAAGGGAUUCAGCAUGCCCUUGAACACGAGAUGCAGAAGUAGCAGAUGACCCAGGCGAACAGGAGGCAGAGAGCCAGCUCCCAGCGCACAGUGCCCAGAUUGUGAAUACCAUCUGUGAGUCCCAGGACUCGCUUCCUGACAGUGCAGGAGAACAAGAAAUAGACAUUUUGAAAUUUUUCACACAAAAAAACACGAGACCCAGAAAUUCCAUCGUGGACCCGAGAAACCCAUUCAUUGACUCACCUUCAAAGAGAGGGCAGAUCUUCCGCCAGGCAGUGACC
This is a long non-coding RNA of Mauremys reevesii (Reeves's turtle), 993 nucleotides long. RefSeq lists it as uncharacterized. The transcript has 5 exons. The record is from RefSeq and is a predicted model, not a curated record. NCBI's taxonomy places the organism in Eukaryota, Metazoa, Chordata, Testudines, Geoemydidae.